RNAcentral lists this ribosomal RNA (138 nucleotides) under Leccinum manzanitae. RNAcentral's name for it is "partial 5.8S ribosomal RNA". It matches the Rfam family "5.8S ribosomal RNA", at positions 1 to 136 of the family's 154-position model. Rfam says of the family: 5.8S ribosomal RNA (5.8S rRNA) is a component of the large subunit of the eukaryotic ribosome. It is transcribed by RNA polymerase I as part of the 45S precursor that also contains 18S and 28S rRNA. Lineage: Eukaryota; Fungi; Basidiomycota; Agaricomycetes; Boletales; Boletaceae. The record is from RNAcentral.
CAACUUUCAGCAAUGGAUCUCUUGGUUCUCGCAUCGAUGAAGAACGCAGCGAAUCGCGAUAAGUAAUGUGAAUUGCAGAUUUUCAGUGAAUCAUCGAAUCUUUGAACGCACCUUGCGCCCCUUGGUAUUCCGAGGGGC